GGUUACUGCUAUCGGUGUCCGCCUAAGCCAUGCGAGUCAUAUGUUCGUAAGAACAUGGCGUACUGCUCAGUAACACGUGGAUAACCUGCCCUUGGGUCCGGCAUAACCCCGGGAAACUGGGGAUAAUUCCGGAUAACGCACAUAUGCUGGAAUGCUUUAUGCGUAAAAUGGAUUCGUCUGCCCAAGGAUGGGUCUGCGGCCUAUCAGGUAGUAGUGGGUGUAAUGUACCUACUAGCCUACGACGGGUACGGGUUGUGAGAGCAAGAGCCCGGAGAUGGAUUCUGAGACAUGAAUCCAGGCCCUACGGGGCGCAGCAGGCGCGAAAACUUUACAAUGCGGGAAACCGUGAUAAGGGGACACCGAGUGCCAGCAUCCUAUGCUGGCUGUCCGGGUGUGUAAAAUACACCUGUUAGCAAGGGCCGGGCAAGACCGGUGCCAGCCGCCGCGGUAACACCGGCGGCCCGAGUGGUGAUCGUGAUUAUUGGGUCUAAAGGGUCCGUAGCCGGUUUGGUCAGUCCUCCGGGAAAUCUGACAGCUUAACUGUUAGGCUUUCGGAGGAUACUGCCAGACUUGGAACCGGGAGAGGUAAGUGGUACUACAGGGGUAGGAGUGAAAUCUUGUAAUCCCUGUGGGACCACCUGUGGCGAAAGCGUCUUACCAGAACGGGUUCGACGGUGAGGGACGAAAGCUGGGGGCACGAACCGGAUUAGAUACCCGGGUAGUCCCAGCCGUAAACGAUGCUCGCUAGGUGUCAGGCAUGGCGCGACCGUGUCUGGUGCCGCAGGGAAGCCGUGAAGCGAGCCACCUGGGAAGUACGGCCGCAAGGCUGAAACUUAA
This 837-nucleotide ribosomal RNA is filed under the name uncultured archaeon. RNAcentral's name for it is "bacterial SSU rRNA". It matches the Rfam family "Archaeal small subunit ribosomal RNA", at positions 21 to 859 of the family's 1478-position model. The record is from RNAcentral.